GUGGGUAUAGCUCAGUGGUAGAGCACAAGUGAGGUCCUGGGCUCAAUCCCCAGUACUUUCA
Molecule: transfer RNA, 61 nt
Filed under: Camelus bactrianus (Bactrian camel)
Lineage: Eukaryota; Metazoa; Chordata; Mammalia; Artiodactyla; Camelidae
Also listed under: 2 other names
Rfam family: tRNA
About the family: Transfer RNA (tRNA) molecules are approximately 80 nucleotides in length.
Source: Rfam by way of RNAcentral